UACGGAGGUUGCGAGCGUUGUUCGGAAUAACUGGGCGUAAAGGGAGCGCAGGCGGUUUGGCAAGUCUAAAGUGAAAGCCCGGGGCUUAACCUCGGAAGUGCUUUGGAUACUACUGAACUUGAGUUCGUGAGAGGAAAGCGGAAUUCCAGGUGUAGCGGUGAAAUGCGUAGAUAUCUGGAGGAACACCGGUGGCGAAAGCGGCUUUCUGGCGCGAUACUGACGCUGAGGCUCGAAAGCAUGGGGAGCGAACAGG
This 253-nucleotide ribosomal RNA is filed under the name uncultured bacterium. RNAcentral describes it as "partial 16S ribosomal RNA". It matches the Rfam family "Bacterial small subunit ribosomal RNA", at positions 524 to 776 of the family's 1533-position model. The record is from RNAcentral.